Molecule: ribosomal RNA, 253 nt
Filed under: uncultured bacterium
Lineage: Bacteria
Description: partial 16S ribosomal RNA
Rfam family: Bacterial small subunit ribosomal RNA
Source: RNAcentral
UACGUAGGGGGCAAGCGUUGUCCGGAAUCAUUGGGCGUAAAGCGCGCGUAGGCGGCCCGGUAAGUCCGCUGUGAAAGUCCAGGGCUCAACCCUGGGAUGCCGGUGGAUACUGUCGGGCUCGAGUCCGGAAGAGGCGAGUGGAAUUCCUGGUGUAGCGGUGAAAUGCGCAGAUAUCAGGAGGAACACCGAUGGCGAAGGCAGCUCGCUGGGACGUGACUGACGCUGAGACGCGAAAGCGUGGGGAGCAAACAGG